UACGAAGGGUGCAAGCGUUACUCGGAAUUACUGGGCGUAAAGCGUGCGUAGGUGGUUCGUUAAGUCUGAUGUGAAAGCCCUGGGCUCAACCUGGGAAUUGCAUUGGAUACUGGCGAGCUAGAGUGCGGUAGAGGAUGGCGGAAUUCCCGGUGUAGCAGUGAAAUGCGUAGAGAUCAGGAAGAACAUCGGUGGCGAAGGCGCUUUGCUGGACCAUAACUGACACUCAGGGACGAAAGCUAGGGGAGCGAAUGGG
Molecule: ribosomal RNA, 253 nt
Filed under: uncultured bacterium
Lineage: Bacteria
Description: partial 16S ribosomal RNA
Rfam family: Bacterial small subunit ribosomal RNA
Source: RNAcentral